UGAGACACGAAUCCAGGCCCUACGGGGUGCAGCAGGCGCGGAACCUUUACAAUGUGCGAAAGCAUGAUAAGGGGACUCCGAGUGCCAGCAUCUAAUGCUGGCUGUCCUUGUGCCUAAAAAGCGCAAGAUAGCAAGGGCCGGGUAAGACCGGUGCCAGCCGCCGCGGUAACACCGGCGGCCCGAGUGGUAGCCGCUAUUAUUGGGUCUAAAGGGUCCGUAGCCGGUUCGGUAAGUCCUUUGGGAAAUCUGGUUGCUUAACAAUCAGACUGCCAAGGGAUACUGCUGAACUUGAGACCGGGAGAGGUAAGAGGUACUUCAGGGGUAGGAGUGAAAUCUUGUGAUCCCUGGGGGACCAUCUGUGGCGAAGGCGUCUUACCAGAACGGGUCUGACGGUGAGGGACGAAAGCUGGGGGCGCAAACCGGAUUAGAUACCCGGGUAGUCCCAGCCGUAAACGAUGCUCGCUAUGU
RNAcentral lists this ribosomal RNA (468 nucleotides) under uncultured Methanosarcinales archaeon. Its description in RNAcentral is "bacterial SSU rRNA". It matches the Rfam family "Archaeal small subunit ribosomal RNA", at positions 304 to 772 of the family's 1478-position model. The record is from RNAcentral. Lineage: Archaea; Methanobacteriati; Methanobacteriota; Methanomicrobia; Methanosarcinales.